RNAcentral lists this ribosomal RNA (606 nucleotides) under Trichoderma sp. A6. RNAcentral's name for it is "eukaryotic LSU rRNA". It matches the Rfam family "Eukaryotic large subunit ribosomal RNA", at positions 39 to 667 of the family's 3401-position model. Lineage: Eukaryota; Fungi; Ascomycota; Sordariomycetes; Hypocreales; Hypocreaceae. The record is from RNAcentral.
CAUAUCAAUAAGCGGAGGAAAAGAAACCAACAGGGAUUGCCCCAGUAACGGCGAGUGAAGCGGCAACAGCUCAAAUUUGAAAUCUGGCCCUUUUGGGUCCGAGUUGUAAUUUGUAGAGGAUGCUUUUGGCAAGGUGCCGCCCGAGUUCCCUGGAACGGGACGCCACAGAGGGUGAGAGCCCCGUCUGGCUGGCCACCGAGCCUCUGUAAAGCUCCUUCGACGAGUCGAGUAGUUUGGGAAUGCUGCUCAAAAUGGGAGGUAUAUGUCUUCUAAAGCUAAAUAUUGGCCAGAGACCGAUAGCGCACAAGUAGAGUGAUCGAAAGAUGAAAAGCACCUUGAAAAGAGGGUUAAAUAGUACGUGAAAUUGUUGAAAGGGAAGCGCUUGUGACCAGACUUGGGCGCGGCGGAUCAUCCGGGGUUCUCCCCGGUGCACUUCGCCGUGUCCAGGCCAGCAUCAGUUCGUCGCGGGGGAAAAAGGCUUCGGGAACGUGGCUCCCCUGGGAGUGUUAUAGCCCGUUGCAUAAUACCCUGCGGUGGACUGAGGACCGCGCAUCUGCAAGGAUGCUGGCGUAAUGGUCACCAGCGACCCGUCUUGAAACACGGACC